This 491-nucleotide ribosomal RNA is filed under the name uncultured bacterium. RNAcentral describes it as "partial 16S ribosomal RNA". It matches the Rfam family "Bacterial small subunit ribosomal RNA", at positions 28 to 507 of the family's 1533-position model. The record is from RNAcentral.
GAUGAACGCUGGCUACAGGCUUAACACAUGCAAGUCGAGGGGAAACGACGGGGAAGCUUGCUUCCCCGGGCGUCGACCGGCGCACGGGUGAGUAACGCGUAUCCAACCUGCCUCUGACUGAGGGAUAACCCGUCGAAAGUCGGCCUAAUACCUCAUGGUAUCGUCUGCGGGCAUCCAACGACGAUUAAAGAUUUCAUCGGUCAGGGAUGGGGAUGCGUCUGAUUAGCUUGUUGGCGGGGUAACGGCCCACCAAGGCUACGAUCAGUAGGGGUUCUGAGAGGAAGGUCCCCCACAUUGGAACUGAGACACGGUCCAAACUCCUACGGGAGGCAGCAGUGAGGAAUAUUGGUCAAUGGGCGAGAGCCUGAACCAGCCAAGUAGCGUGCAGGAAGACGGCCCUAUGGGUUGUAAACUGCUUUUAUGCGGGGAUAAAGUGAGGGACGUGUCCCCCAUUGCAGGUACCGCAUGAAUAAGGACCGGCUAAUUCCGUG